GGCAGACGGGUGAGUAACGCGUGGGAAUCUACCCAUCUCUACGGAACAACUCCGGGAAACUGGAGCUAAUACCGUAUACGUCCUUUUUGGAGAAAGAUUUAUCGGAGAUGGAUGAGCCCGCGUUGGAUUAGCUAGUUGGUGGGGUAAUGGCCUACCAAGGCGACGAUCCAUAGCUGGUCUGAGAGGAUGAUCAGCCACACUGGGACUGAGACACGGCCCAGACUCCUACGGGAGGCAGCAGUGGGGAAUAUUGGACAAUGGGCGCAAGCCUGAUCCAGCCAUGCCGCGUGAGUGAUGAAGGCCCUAGGGUUGUAAAGCUCUUUCACCGGUGAAGAUAAUGACGGUAACCGGAGAAGAAGCCCCGGCUAACUUCGUGCCAGCAGCCGCGG
Molecule: ribosomal RNA, 389 nt
Filed under: uncultured bacterium
Lineage: Bacteria
Description: bacterial SSU rRNA
Rfam family: Bacterial small subunit ribosomal RNA
Source: RNAcentral